GUCCAUUGGCCUGGUUCCCAGAAAUGGUAUUGUGAACCGAAUGAGAGCCUAUGAGUCACCUUCGGAUGGUGUGUUAAUCUACUCCAGGUUCCUGCCCAGUAAAGGCUGGUACCCCUUUACAGCUGGGUGGACUGGGAACAUGGAAACAGA
Thalassophryne amazonica is the source of this 150-nucleotide long non-coding RNA. RefSeq lists it as uncharacterized. The record is from RefSeq and is a predicted model, not a curated record. The transcript has 3 exons. NCBI's taxonomy places the organism in Eukaryota, Metazoa, Chordata, Actinopteri, Batrachoidiformes, Batrachoididae.